CCCCAUGACCACGGGAUAACCCGUUGAAAGACGGACUAAUACCGUAUGACGCGUUUGCUGACAUCAAAUAACGAUUAAAGGUUUAGCGGUGAUGGAUGGGGAUGCGUCUGAUUAGCUUGUUGGCGGGGUAACGGCCCACCAAGGCGACGAUCAGUAGGGGUUCUGAGAGGAAGGUCCCCCACAUUGGAACUGAGACACGGUCCAA
RNAcentral lists this ribosomal RNA (205 nucleotides) under uncultured Bacteroidales bacterium. RNAcentral describes it as "partial 16S ribosomal RNA". It matches the Rfam family "Bacterial small subunit ribosomal RNA", at positions 128 to 334 of the family's 1533-position model. The record is from RNAcentral. Lineage: Bacteria; Pseudomonadati; Bacteroidota; Bacteroidia; Bacteroidales.